RNAcentral lists this long non-coding RNA (267 nucleotides) under Olea europaea (common olive). RNAcentral's name for it is "long non-coding RNA (OEUR_LNC001878)". The record is from RNAcentral. Lineage: Eukaryota; Viridiplantae; Streptophyta; Magnoliopsida; Lamiales; Oleaceae.
UUUAUUGCCCCAAUAAUGAGGUAUAGCCUAAAUAGAACUAAUUGAUCCAUAAAAGAGGGUGGUAGUUGGGCUCACUCUGGUGGACGGGUGAAACAAAUCAUGGACGGAGGACUUCAAGCUAGAAGUUGGAGGUUAUACCACUAUAAACCUCUCCCUAUCGAUGUCAAUGCCAAUGGAUGUUCACGAAAGAAUACACCAUCUACCCACCGCACGAGGUUCUCGACACUUAUUUGGAGUAUAUAGCUUUUAUAUAUUAGAUUUUUUUUU